RNAcentral lists this ribosomal RNA (534 nucleotides) under uncultured bacterium. Its description in RNAcentral is "bacterial SSU rRNA". It matches the Rfam family "Bacterial small subunit ribosomal RNA", at positions 358 to 917 of the family's 1533-position model. The record is from RNAcentral.
GGAUUCGNAUGGGGGAACCCUGACGCAGCACGCCGCGUGGAGGAUGAAGUCCUUCGGGACGUAAACUCCUUUCGAUCGGGACGAUUAUGACGGUACCGGAAGAAGAAGCCCCGGCUAACUUCGUGCCAGCAGCCGCGGUAAUACGAAGGGGGCUAGCGUUGCUCGGAAUCACUGGGCGUAAAGCGCACGUAGGCGGCUUUUUAAGUCAGGGGUGAAAUCCUGGAGCUCAACUCCAGAACUGCCUUUGAUACUGAGAAGCUUGAGUCCGGGAGAGGUGAGUGGAACUGCGAGUGUAGAGGUGAAAUUCGUAGAUAUUCGCAAGAACACCAGUGGCGAAGGCGGCUCACUGGCCCGGAACUGACGCUGAGACGCGAAAGCGUGGGGAGCAAACAGGAUUAGAUACCCUGGUAGUCCACGCUGUAAACGAUGGAUGCUAGCCGUUGGGGAGCUUGCUCUUCAGUGGCGCCGCUAACGCUUUAAGCAUCCCGCCUGGGGAGUACGGUCGCAAGAUUAAAACUCAAAAAAAUUGACGGA